GACGAACCGUGCGAACGUUGUUCGGAAUCACUGGGCUUAAAGGGCGCGUAGGCGGGCGGCCAAGUUCGGGGUGAAAUCCUCCAGCUCAACUGGAGAACGGCCUCGAAUACUGGACGUCUCGAGGGAGGUAGGGGCGUGCGGAACUAUGGGUGGAGCGGUGAAACGCGUUGAUAUCCAUAGGAACUCCGGUGGCGAAGGCGGCACGCUGGACCUUUUCUGACGCUGAGGCGCGAAAGCCAGGGGAGCGAACGGG
RNAcentral lists this ribosomal RNA (253 nucleotides) under uncultured bacterium. Its description in RNAcentral is "partial 16S ribosomal RNA". It matches the Rfam family "Bacterial small subunit ribosomal RNA", at positions 524 to 776 of the family's 1533-position model. The record is from RNAcentral.